This 428-nucleotide long non-coding RNA is filed under the name Vulpes vulpes (red fox). Its description in RNAcentral is "lncRNA (ENSVVUG00000021374.1)". The record is from RNAcentral. Lineage: Eukaryota; Metazoa; Chordata; Mammalia; Carnivora; Canidae.
CGCCACGCUGAUUGGCAGCGCGGAGCGGGGAACAUGGCAGCUGCAGCCGAGCGACCGCCGCUGAUUGGGUCGUGGCCGGGCGCCUGGCAGAGGAUACCCUGGGAAGAACUUUGGGGCUCAGAGUGUUGCGCUUUGGGGAGCUGUUUCUGAAAACAGAGUGGUGGCGGAAAAAGAAAAGCAAAGAAAAGUUUUUCUUGCACCCAGGCUGGAGAGAGAAGGCAGGAGUUCUCGUUCCCUCGUUUUUCAGGUCCCUCCCCAGAGACCCGAAGAGAUAGGCCUGAAGGAGAAUGGACUUGGGGUGUGAAACUUGCCUGUGUUUCUGGAGCACACAUCUAUCCAGGACCCCAAGUUCCUUCUAGCUGCCAAAUGCUCCAUUAGUUCUGAAAUGUAAAUGAUCUCAGCUCCAAAAUAAAGUGGCUAGACUAUCC